CAUUAUUAUUUCUUUCGAAGUUCACAUGAAAUAUCCUUUUAUCAUUACUUCUUCUCGCGUCUCUUCUCUCUCUCUCGCUCUCUCUAUUUCUUGAUCUCUCUGCUACAUCGAGAAAACAGACAAAACAUGUCUAAAGUUACCACAGAGCUCGACUUCUUCGGUCUUGACAAGAAUCAGACCAAUAACGCUCCAAAGCCCAAGUUCAAGAAAACUCUCGACCGUCGUCGCAGUUUCCGAGAAAUGCAAGGUGCGAUUUCUAAGAUAGAUCCGGAGAUUAUCAAAUCACUGUUGGCUUCUGGUGCUAACCGUUCCGAGUCAUCCACCAGAUCGCUUUCUGUUCCAUCUACUCCCAAGGAGGAUCAUCCUCAAAUACCGUCUUCUCCUGUCCACGUGCCUCUUUCCAGGCCUAGUAUGGAACUUGUCUCUGGAACUGUUCCUAUGACCAUUUUCUACAAUGGAACCGUCUCCGUUUUCCAAGUGUCUCCUAACAAGGCUGAGGAUAUUUUGAAGGUUGCCAUGCAGACAACACCAGAGAAAGACAAAUCGGUGGAGAAAGAUCUUUCGGUAAUCCCUCCGACCACUCUAAGGUCAAAGCUCUUUGGCAAGAAUCUAGAAGGAGAUCUUCCCAUCGCAAGGAGAAAGUCACUACAAAGGUUUCUUGAGAAGCGCAAGGAGAGAUAAUUGCUCUCUCCUACCUUCCAAGGAUUAACCCCAAAACAAUUAAACUAAAAGAUUAGUAUCAACAUGUCCUUACUUUCCAACAUCAGCCUAAAACGAAACUCUUUAUCUUUUUCUUUUUUUGACUGGGACGUGAAACCAAACCAGUUCAUCCUGCAUUUGGCUUCUCCCCAAAUCUUUUGGAAUCUCACUACACAGCUUUAGUAUAUUACGUUUCUUUCUUAAGAAUAUACAGUUUCUUAUAUAAGUAUGUUGCCAUCUUCUUAAAUGAUUAUUAUUAUCUCUAAUGUCAAGACUCAGACACUUUGUGUUAUUACAUGUUUCCACUAUUUCUUGUAUUUACACUACUUUUUUGUAAUUUUUAGUACUUGGAAAAGAAACGCCUCUUGGCUUCACGUGAA
This is an RNA transcript of Brassica napus (rape), 1079 nucleotides long. It is a transcript of the gene named protein TIFY 9, with no coding region annotated. NCBI's taxonomy places the organism in Eukaryota, Viridiplantae, Streptophyta, Magnoliopsida, Brassicales, Brassicaceae. The transcript is spliced from 5 exons. The record is from RefSeq and is a predicted model, not a curated record.